RNA transcript from Onychomys torridus (southern grasshopper mouse), 3960 nucleotides. RefSeq lists it as uncharacterized. NCBI's taxonomy places the organism in Eukaryota, Metazoa, Chordata, Mammalia, Rodentia, Cricetidae. The transcript is spliced from 4 exons. The record is from RefSeq and is a predicted model, not a curated record.
UGGAGGAGGAGAGUGUACCUCCUCAGCACAUGGGCUGGGAGAGUGAGAAGUGGUGGUAGAUUCGGAGACAGCUGGAGUGGGGUGUCAAAGGUGAGGCAGUUUCUGAGGACAGGAACCCGUGUAUGCAACAGAAUAGCAGUGGCUGCUGACGUGGAAAGAACCAGAAGGUCAUAGGGGAGGAGACCGAAAAAGAGGCAGCAUUUUGUAAAACCAGUUCUGGGUGAGGGAGAACUAUCUUCCAUCCCGAGAGACUGGGGACGCCAUGUCUCCAAGGCAGCCCUCAGAAGGCUAGCGCUCAAACGGACUUCUCAAAGGAUCUACUUGGAGAAAGUAGGUUGCUGACUGCUUGCCUCUGAGAGCAGAAGGCACAAGGGAGAACCUGGAGAUAAGCAAGGAUCGAGGAUGAAUAUGUGAAAGAUGCAAAUUAUGGUAAGGUCUCAGAGUGUCAAUGUGAACAAAUCUCCCACAACACGGUGUCUCCAGGAGGAAGGGCAUCAGCCAUCUCUGCCACACGGACCACCACCUCCUCUAUAACGAUGGUCUCCAGAUUGCAUAGCAUUUCUGGGUUGCUGCUGUAUCGUUUUAUCAUUCACUUUAAGAAGUACACAGUACUCCAUCAUCAAGCACCCCAUAACUCAGUCACCACCCCUGUUGGAUUGUACCUUUUUUGCUUGAAGGAAGCACCCCACAGCUUCUCUGUGAUGUUUCGAGGUUGCAGCCUCGUCUCUUCCCAUUAUUAAAUCUCCUGUACUGAAGUUUUCUCCAGUCCGGCUAAGACCGUUACAUCUACAGUCUCCCGAGGGUCAUUUAAAACGAGCAUUAUCAGGAUGCACAGUUGAUCUGAAAACCGGGACAGAUACUCAGCAGCUGACAGCAUAGCACCCAGCAUGGAAUGUGGCCAAGAGAUGAGUCUUAUCCCAAGUGGGACAGAGUGGGCUAGUGUGAGAUUCCCUUAGGCUGCUCUUCCAUAUCGCUUGAUGGAAUAUUCUAUUGGGUGUGUAAAGGCUAUAGUAACUGUAGGUAAGGGGUGGAGGCUGCUAACGUUGAAGGGAUUCCUUACUCAGGAGGAGAAACUGGGUUCCUGGGGUCUCUUCCUUCAGGGCUAAGCACGGUUGGUUAACUAGAGACCAAGCCCUGGCUUGGCCCCUCCUGUACCACUUCCCAUCCAUGCCCAUAGGACAGUCUGUUCCUCAGGGCAGUGGAAAGAUCCAUCCUACCCAUAGGAACUGGAGCCUGAGGAUGAGGGAGAAGGGACACAGUGCUUGCUCAGCAAAUGUUGGUGAAAAGAGCUGGUGGCAUGAGCGUUCUGAGCCCUCGUGUGCCCUGCAGUCCUUAUAACCAUAGCAGUUGGUAGCCUGCUGUUCACGUCCACAGAUGAGAAACCAGCCCCUGCCUGCAGUAUCCAGGAGUCAGUGGCCUUCAACUGUUCUACCACUCACCUUGCACCUGGCUUCCUCCACACCAGUGAUGCUCAAAGCAUAGUCAGCAGAACAGCAGCAGCAGCAUCUGGACUUGCCGGAGACUGGGACAUGGACCAAGCAAUCCAUGUCUCCCCACAGGAUGCCGGAGUGCUCUGAUACACCAACAGCCGUACAAGUCACUGCUCUGUACCAGUCCUCUCUGGGGUGUGGGAAACACACUUGUGGGUGGAAAGGUGAGGACAGUGACAUGGGAAGGCAGCUGCAGAGUCCAAGGAAAGGUCUUAACAAGUCAAGCUGCUGCAGGAGGGCCAGGCUGGUGGCCUUGGAUGAACAGAGCCCCAUAUAAAUAUUGAGACUUCUGUGUCAACUGGAGGUUAUCAGGUAAGCCAUCCCUGGCCUGGGAAGGACUGGAGGGUGCUCAGACUCAUCCCAGAAGACCACCAAUGAAUGCUACAGGUACUUGGGCCAAAAUCCCUCACCUCCAGGCUGGGACCUGGGAAGCUGCCAUUUGGGCCUGCUACCCGGUGAGUGCAAGCUAACACUUGGGAACCUCUGCAUGGAAGACAUUAGACUAGACAGACCCACAGGGACUGGUUUUGUGAGCUGGUAUAAACCUUUCCCCUCUGUGCCCUGGGAUUCCUCUCUACAGAAGGUAAUCCUGGUAGAAAGAGUUGGAUUCAGGGAUCAGAUUAGCUUGUUACAUCUAAAGGGGAAAUCAAGCUAGAGGUGAGGCAGCAAAGAUCAGGGCAUGAUUUUUGAGCCUGGGGGUGGUAGGGAGCCAUGGAGGAAGUUAGCCCCAAACAGGUGCCUUCCACUUUGCAUUUUCCCAGAUGACAGCCUGAGGCGGCUGAGCUGAGGAGGAAGGAGGACGGGAGGUGGUACUGGUCAGCAUGGGGCACCAACUCUAGGCCACAUUGCCUAAAUUCAAAUCUCUGUUCCAUUCAAGCCCACAGCUGUGGGACCACUGACUUGACCUGUUAGUGUGUUAGUGGCCUAAUCUGCCAAGGGCUCAUGAGAAGAAUUCAAGGCCAUGUGAAGUCCAUGGUCAGUGUAAUGCGUCAUCAGCUCCAUGGGCUCCAUCGGCAAAGCUCUUCCCAUGUCUUUUCGAGCAGAAGCAGGUAGCCAAAUACUGUGGGAAUGUAAGUAUUCUGAGGACCAAGACAGGUAGUGUGGUCAUUGAAGGCCCUCUGAAUAGCUCUGGGGGACAGGAUGACCCUCUGUCACAUUAGAACAGACCCCCCUACACACAACCCCCCAGGAGCGUAGGCCGCCUGCUAGAAACAGAGAGCUCUGGUGGUAAUGCUGACCCUGUCCUCCCAAGCCCUCAGCCCAGGCCUGCCCACAUGACCCAGCUUCCUGUUUGUGAUACCAACAUUGGAGGGAGGAAAUCAACACCCCACCCAGGGCUAGAGGGCAGGAAUGUGGACCUGCUGACGUCAAAGCUUGUCCCAGUUCUGAGGAGAUGGGAUGGGAAGGGUUUCCUGCUGAGCCUCUGAGCCAGCCUGCUCUGCAGGAGUGAGCUGAGCUGUGGGAGCCCACUUAGAACUUUCUCGGUGGGGUGCUACAGGGGUGAACUCAAGUCCUGCCCCAACACAGCUGUAGGACCUGGGCAAAUUAACCCAUGCUUGCAAGCCACUGUUUCCUCUUCUAUAGGAUGGGAACAUCAAUGCUAAUGGAGCCAGGGUACCCAUCUGGUAUAAGAGAAGCCCUCCACUACUGUGAACCUGCUCCUCACUGCAGAAGCCAUAGAGAUCCUUGUCUUCUAGAAAGACGCAAGCCCUCUGGAAUGGAGCCUGCCCUGACUGUCAUGGGCUCCUGUGCCAGCAUCUGCCUGACUGGCAAGGCAGGGAGAGGAAGCCAGUCACCUAGGUGUGAGAUGACUGUUGGUGUGCCCAGGCACCAGGCUGGGUCUGGAGUCCUGCUGUCCUGUCCCACAUUUCUGGAAAGGCACCAUCUAGGUUCUCCACCCUAUGAGACUGGACUUCCCAGCUUGGUACUGGAGGAGAGCUGGCUGGCAUGGAGGACUGACACAGAGAAGACAGGCCCACGGAUGCCCCAAAGAGGGCAAAGCACUUGGGAGGGAGAGACCAGAAGUGGACCUAUCUGGGGCCCCACUGGGCCCUCACUGGGUUGUCUGCUCUCCUUCUCCAUCCCUCUCCAUCUUUCCCAGGACGCCACUUAGGCCCACUGCGGAGCUAGAGAUACCUGGAUUAGAAUCGGGUUUGGCUGUUCUCCAGACUUGCGACCUUGGCCGUGCCCAUCCAUCUCCUGCGUUCCCUGGUACUGCUACACAGACACAGGAGCAUCCCAGUUUCUGAGAAGACAUCACGUCUUUAAAAAAUCUAGUAACCUCCUGUACGACAGAGCAUCGGCUUAAUAAACUCUGGUCCUAGGUAGUUGGUAUGUAAAGGCUUCUUCCUGUAAGUGUCCAGACCCUGGGAGGACCUCCAUGGGUGACCGUAAAUUCCCCUUCCCCAGGUGCCCAGCAGGUGGCAGCAUCGGCCCCUUGUUGGCGCACAGGCACGCUCAAAUAAAUGUU